GAAGCUAACUAUGAGGCUCUCGUAGGGAGUCUUGUCCACAAGCAGACAAAGGUACAACCCUCCACUACACAGUGCCAUUUUAAUUGAAUUACCUUGGCUGUGGGGAAAAUA
Long non-coding RNA from Gavialis gangeticus (Gharial), 111 nucleotides. RefSeq lists it as uncharacterized. The transcript is spliced from 3 exons. NCBI's taxonomy places the organism in Eukaryota, Metazoa, Chordata, Crocodylia, Gavialidae. The record is from RefSeq and is a predicted model, not a curated record.